RNAcentral lists this transfer RNA (76 nucleotides) under Eubacteriales Family XIII. Incertae Sedis bacterium. RNAcentral's name for it is "tRNA-Ala". It matches the Rfam family "tRNA". Rfam says of the family: Transfer RNA (tRNA) molecules are approximately 80 nucleotides in length. Their secondary structure includes four short double-helical elements and three loops (D, anti-codon, and T loops). Lineage: Bacteria; Bacillati; Bacillota; Clostridia; Peptostreptococcales; Anaerovoracaceae. The record is from RNAcentral.
GGGGAAUUAGCUCAGAUGGUAGAGCGCCUGGUUCGCAAUCAGGAGGUCAGGGGUUCGAUCCCCCUAUUCUCCACCA